Molecule: ribosomal RNA, 440 nt
Filed under: uncultured bacterium
Lineage: Bacteria
Description: partial 16S ribosomal RNA
Rfam family: Bacterial small subunit ribosomal RNA
Source: RNAcentral
CCUACGGGGGGCAGCAGUGGGGGAUAUUGCACAAUGGGGGAAACCCUGAUGCAGCGACGCCGCGUGGGUGAAGAAGCGCCUCGGCGCGUAAAGCCCUGUCAGCAGGGAAGAAAAUGACGGUACCUGAAGAAGAAGCCCCGGCUAACUACGUGCCAGCAGCCGCGGUAAUACGUGGGGGGCAGGCGUUAUACGGAUUUACUGGGUGUAAAGGGGGCGCAGACGGCGAUGCAAGCCAGGAGGGAAAGCCCGGGGCCCAACCCCGGGACUGCUCUUGGAACUGGGUGGCUAGAGUGCAGGAGGGGCAGGCGGAAUUCCUGGUGUAGCGGUGAAAUGCGUAGAUAUCAGGAGGAACACCGGUGGCGAAGGCGGCCUGCUGGACUGCAACUGACGUUGAGGCCCGAAAGCGUGGGGAGCAAACAGGAUUAGAUACCCGGGUAGUC